AAAAAAAAUGGCUUUCAGGUUGGUAAUCAAACAGUGGCAAAUGUGGAAAGAGUUCAAAUUUCAAUAUUUCUUUUACAUACUGUCAGAUGACCAAUAAAUCAAACAAUGCAACUGAUUAAGAGUAAAUUUCACAUCGUACAAUUAUCACAAAGCAUAUUGAGGGAUGCAUGACACAUAGAUGAAAAACUUGAAGAUUAAACAAUAA
RNAcentral lists this unclassified non-coding RNA (205 nucleotides) under Hevea brasiliensis (rubber tree). The record is from RNAcentral. Lineage: Eukaryota; Viridiplantae; Streptophyta; Magnoliopsida; Malpighiales; Euphorbiaceae.